GAUGGAGAACGUAGCGAAAUGCGAUAAGUAGUGUGAAUUGCAGAAUUCAGUGAAUCAUCGAAUCUUUGAACGCACAUUGCGCCUUCUAGUAUUCUGGGAGGCAUGCCUGUUUGAGCGUCAUUAAACCUCUCUCAAGUAUGAUUACUUGGAUGUGAAGGAAGAGUACCUUAAACUUAAGGAGUGUUCUCCUUUGAAAUUGAUUAGCAGAUGGUAAUGUUAUUAAAUCCCUGAUGUUGUAAGAAAUAACAGUGGUUUUGUAGACUAUUAUCUAGCUUUAAAUUAUAAUUUUUAUUAUGGUUGACCUCAAAUCAGGUAAGGAUACCCGCUGAACUUAAGCAUAUCAAUAAGCGGAGGA
RNAcentral lists this unclassified non-coding RNA (355 nucleotides) under soil metagenome. RNAcentral describes it as "partial contains 5.8S ribosomal RNA, internal transcribed spacer 2, and large subunit ribosomal RNA". The stretch from base 1 to 120 matches the Rfam family "5.8S ribosomal RNA", at positions 35 to 154 of the family's 154-position model. The record is from RNAcentral.